UACGGAGGUGGCAAGCGUUGUUCGGAAUUACUGGGCGUAAAGGGCGCGUAGGCGGCAAGGCAAGUCAGGUGUGAAAGCCCCGGGCUUAACUCGGGAAUUGCAUCUGAAACUGCUGUGCUUGAGUUCUGGAGGGGGUAGUGGAAUUCCCAGUGUAGCGGUGAAAUGCGUAGAUAUUGGGAGGAACACCUGCGGCGAAGGCGGCUACCUGGACAGAAACUGACGCUGAGGCGCGAAAGCGUGGGGAGCAAACAGG
Molecule: ribosomal RNA, 253 nt
Filed under: uncultured bacterium
Lineage: Bacteria
Description: partial 16S ribosomal RNA
Rfam family: Bacterial small subunit ribosomal RNA
Source: RNAcentral